Molecule: ribosomal RNA, 429 nt
Filed under: Chloroflexota bacterium
Lineage: Bacteria; Bacillati; Chloroflexota
Description: Chloroflexi bacterium partial 16S ribosomal RNA
Rfam family: Bacterial small subunit ribosomal RNA
Source: RNAcentral
UGGGGAAUAUUGCACAAUGGGCGCAAGCCUGAUGCAGCCAUGCCGCGUGUAUGAAGAAGGCCUUCGGGUUGUAAAGUACUUUCAGUCGGGAGGAAGGUGGUAAGGUUAAUAACCUUAUCAAUUGACGUUACCGACAGAAGGAGCACCGGCUAACUCCGUGCCAGCAGCCGCGGUAAUACGGAGGGUGCAAGCGUUAAUCGGAAUUACUGGGCGUAAAGCGCACGCAGGCGGUUGAUUGAGUCAGAUGUGAAAUCCCCGGGCUUAACCCGGGAAUUGCAUCUGAUACUGGUCAGCUAGAGUCUUGUAGAGGGGGGUAGAAUUCCAUGUGUAGCGGUGAAAUGCGUAGAGAUGUGGAGGAAUACCGGUGGCGAAGGCGGCCCCCUGGACAAAGACUGACGCUCAGGUGCGAAAGCGUGGGGAGCAAACAGG